This 1370-nucleotide ribosomal RNA is filed under the name Burkholderia cenocepacia. Its description in RNAcentral is "bacterial LSU rRNA". It matches the Rfam family "Bacterial large subunit ribosomal RNA", at positions 1578 to 2925 of the family's 2925-position model. Lineage: Bacteria; Pseudomonadati; Pseudomonadota; Betaproteobacteria; Burkholderiales; Burkholderiaceae. The record is from RNAcentral.
CUAGGGAGCGAAGCAAUUGGAAGUGGUUCCAAGAAAAGCCUCUAAGCUUCAGUCUAACGAUGACCGUACCGCAAACCGACACAGGUGGGCGAGAUGAGUAUUCUAAGGCGCUUGAGAGAACUCGGGAGAAGGAACUCGGCAAAUUGGUACCGUAACUUCGGGAUAAGGUACGCCCUUGUAGCUUGACUGGCCUGCGCCAGGAGGGUGAAGGGGUUGCAAUAAACUGGUGGCUGCGACUGUUUAAUAAAAACACAGCACUCUGCAAACACGAAAGUGGACGUAUAGGGUGUGACGCCUGCCCGGUGCCGGAAGAUUAAAUGAUGGGGUGCAAGCUCUUGAUUGAAGUCCCGGUAAACGGCGGCCGUAACUAUAACGGUCCUAAGGUAGCGAAAUUCCUUGUCGGGUAAGUUCCGACCUGCACGAAUGGCGUAACGAUGGCCACACUGUCUCCUCCCGAGACUCAGCGAAGUUGAAGUGUUUGUGAUGAUGCAAUCUACCCGCGGCUAGACGGAAAGACCCCAUGAACCUUUACUGUAGCUUUGCAUUGGACUUUGAACCGAUCUGUGUAGGAUAGGUGGGAGGCUAUGAAACCGGAACGCUAGUUUCGGUGGAGCCGUCCUUGAAAUACCACCCUGGUUUGUUUGAGGUUCUAACCUUGGCCCGUGAUCCGGGUCGGGGACAGUGCAUGGUAGGCAGUUUGACUGGGGCGGUCUCCUCCCAAAGCGUAACGGAGGAGUACGAAGGUACGCUAGGUACGGUCGGAAAUCGUGCUGAUAGUGCAAUGGCAUAAGCGUGCUUAACUGCGAGACCGACAAGUCGAGCAGGUGCGAAAGCAGGUCAUAGUGAUCCGGUGGUUCUGUAUGGAAGGGCCAUCGCUCAACGGAUAAAAGGUACUCUGGGGAUAACAGGCUGAUACCGCCCAAGAGUUCAUAUCGACGGCGGUGUUUGGCACCUCGAUGUCGGCUCAUCUCAUCCUGGGGCUGUAGCCGGUCCCAAGGGUAUGGCUGUUCGCCAUUUAAAGAGGUACGUGAGCUGGGUUUAAAACGUCGUGAGACAGUUUGGUCCCUAUCUGCCGUGGGCGUUGGAUAUUUGAAGGGGGCUGCUCCUAGUACGAGAGGACCGGAGUGGACGAACCUCUGGUGUACCGGUUGUCACGCCAGUGGCAUCGCCGGGUAGCUAUGUUCGGAAGAGAUAACCGCUGAAAGCAUCUAAGCGGGAAACUCGCCUUAAGAUGAGAUAUCCCUGGGGACUAGAUCCCCUUGAAGGGUCGUUCGAGACCAGGACGUUGAUAGGUCAGGUGUGUAAGCGCAGUAAUGCGUUCAGCUAACUGAUACUAAUUGCCCGUAAGGCUUGAUCCUAUAACAAGUCUG